Molecule: RNA transcript, 1887 nt
Organism: Zingiber officinale
Lineage: Eukaryota; Viridiplantae; Streptophyta; Magnoliopsida; Zingiberales; Zingiberaceae
Exons: 9
Source: RefSeq, a predicted model, not a curated record
UCUUGUCUCACUUCUAACGCGUAGCAACCCUAAUUGCCGCGCCGCCUUCUUCGACAGCGCGCAACCUUCCCGAUCAGGCCACGCCUGAGCGCCUCCGACGUCGUUUUCCGAUUCAUCAGGAGAUAAUCAUUUCCGAUCCGUUCCGUUCCGACGUUCUAUUCGUUCUUUUACUAUUAUAACGUCCGAGAACGGCGUGAGGCGUUCCCGUGCCCGUUCCGGCCGUUCCACGCCCGUUCCGACGUGCGUCAACCCGUCAACCCGCAAUCUGCUAGGGAUCCGAUUGUGGAUUCCCUAUAUAACACUCUCUAUUUCACUGCGCCGCCACCACCAUCCAAACCAAACCCUUUUGAGAUUUGCGUCUAAAGCAGGCCUGGGCAGAUCGAUUUAAUUCUGAGCGACGAUCCAAAAGAAACCGUCUGUUGGUAGCAGAUUUUCUUGCGGAGUGAAAUGUUCCAGUUUGGCCGAAGAAAUGAGGAUAAGUUGAGAAUAAUUUGGCUUACCCAUGGAACUGCAGGAAGAAGAAAAAAAAAACAUUCUGAUGUUUUUAGGUUUGGUAUGGGAGGUAUUGGAAAGAUUUGUUUGGUUAGAAGAUUAGAGGCUCAAGGUUUGCCUCCUAAUCAAGCAUACAUAAUCAUAUCAACAUUGACGACAUUUUUGAAUACUAAUUUAGAUCAUUUGACACAAUCUGUUGUGUCAAAGUCGGCAAUCAAUGAGGAUGGUCAUUUUAAUUCGGUGGAACGAAAAAAUGAAAAACUGGAGAGAGAUUUUAAGAAAUUGGUUAUUAAAUUAACAAGCAAAUUUAACUGGGAAAUUAUUUAAGUGGAAGCAGGACUGGAAGUUGGAAAAUUUGACCUUAUGAAGAAAAUGAAAUAUUGGAGAGAGAUUUUAAGAAAUUGGUUAUUAAAUUAACAAGCAAAUUUAACCGGGAAAUUAUUGAAGUGGAAGCAUGACUGGAAGCUGAAAAAUUUGAGCUUAUGAAGAAAAUGAAAAACUGGAGAGAGAUUUUAAGAAAUUGGUUAUUAAAUUAACAAGCAAAUUUAACCGGGAAAUUAUUGAAGUGGAAGCAUGACUGGAAGCUGGAAAAUUUGAGCUUAUGAAGAAAAUGAAAAACUGGAGAGAGAUUUUAAGAAAUUAGUUAUUAAAUUAACAAGCAAAUUUAACCGGGAAAUUAUUGAAGUGGAAGCAGGACUGGAAGCUGGAAAAUUUGAGCUUAUGAAGUACUGUGUUGGUACUUUUGUUUCAAAAAAACUGUUGAAUUCUGUGGUUGAGUGAGCACGUAACAAGGAUAUGAUGCAGCAUUCUGCUACGCCACAAAUACACAGGUCACAGCUGCCUCUUCUUGCAUGAAAUCUACAAGAAGUCAAUUUGCAUACUUAUGUCGACUGAUAUUCAACUAUUGCUGCUAAUUAGAUUCAAAAAUAAUAUAUAAGCGCCAUUUGAAUCUUGAGUCACACCGUCGUGGAUUGUGAUCCACCAGCCUCUGUUCAUGAAGCUGGGAAGCUGGUUUCCAGGAGGGAGGCAAAGAGGAGUUCGUUCCAAGUGUCGGGCAAUCCGGCCAAGCACCAGUGGCUGCAGUCAGCAAACCUCUUCGGUUCCUUCCUCUGCUCUGGCGUCAGGGACUUCCCCUGCCGUUUAGUGUACACGCCCGUGUGGGCGUCCCGCCUGAACUCUGACAGCUUCGUCACGAUGAGAUAACGCUCUGGCGUCCUCAUCCUAAGGAGGGUCCUCUCUUCCAGCUUCACCAUCGACUUGGGAAACAGCUGCAGAUAUCCCUCGUUGUCGGAGAAGGGUCGAGUUUGGUUGUAGCACCAUUGUAAAUUCUCCCUGCAGUUUAAUCCGUCAUUCACAAUUUCACAUUAACUGAAAUCAAGUUUUGGUUCUGCAUUU